GCCCUCUUAGCUCAGUGGAAGAGCGCCGGGCUUCGAACCCGUAUGCGGGCGUUCGACUCGCCCAGAGGGCUCCA
RNAcentral lists this transfer RNA (74 nucleotides) under Chloroflexota bacterium. RNAcentral's name for it is "Chloroflexi bacterium tRNA-Arg". It matches the Rfam family "tRNA". Rfam says of the family: Transfer RNA (tRNA) molecules are approximately 80 nucleotides in length. Their secondary structure includes four short double-helical elements and three loops (D, anti-codon, and T loops). RNAcentral also lists the same sequence under 1 other name. The record is from RNAcentral. Lineage: Bacteria; Bacillati; Chloroflexota.